RNAcentral lists this ribosomal RNA (400 nucleotides) under uncultured bacterium. Its description in RNAcentral is "bacterial SSU rRNA". It matches the Rfam family "Bacterial small subunit ribosomal RNA", at positions 355 to 771 of the family's 1533-position model. The record is from RNAcentral.
UAGGGAAUUUUCCACAAUGGACGAAAGUCUGAUGGAGCAACGCCGCGUGCAGGAUGAAUGCCCUUGGGUUGUAAACUGCUUUUAUAUGUGACGAAUAUGACGGUAGCAUAUGAAUAAGGAUCGGCUAACUCCGUGCCAGCAGCCGCGGUCAUACGGAGGAUCCAAGCGUUAUCCGGAAUUACUGGGCGUAAAGAGUUGCGUAGGUGGCAUAGUAAGUAGAUAGUGAAAGCGUGGGGCUCAACCUCAUAUCCAUUAUCUAAACUGCUAAGCUAGAGGGCGAGAGAGGUUACUAGAAUUCCUUGUGUAGGAGUGAAAUCCGUAGAUAUAAGGAGGAAUACCGAUGGCGUAGGCAGGUAACUGGCUCGUCCCUGACACUAAGGCACGAAAGCGUGGGGAGCAA